UACGUAGGGUGCGAGCGUUGUCCGGAAUUACUGGGCGUAAAGAGCUCGUAGGUGGUUUGUCGCGUUGUCCGUGAAAACUCACAGCUUAACUGUGGGCGUGCGGGCGAUACGGGCAGACUGGAGUACUGCAGGGGAGACUGGAAUUCCUGGUGUAGCGGUGGAAUGCGCAGAUAUCAGGAGGAACACCGGUGGCGAAGGCGGGUCUCUGGGCAGUAACUGACACUGAGGCGCGAAAGCGUGGGGAGCAAACAGG
RNAcentral lists this ribosomal RNA (253 nucleotides) under uncultured bacterium. RNAcentral describes it as "partial 16S ribosomal RNA". It matches the Rfam family "Bacterial small subunit ribosomal RNA", at positions 524 to 776 of the family's 1533-position model. The record is from RNAcentral.